AGAGUUUGAUCUUGGCUCAGAUUGAACGCUGGCGGCAUGCCUUACACAUGCAAGUCGAACGGCAGCACGGGGGCAACCCUGGUGGCGAGUGGCGAACGGGUGAGUAAUAUAUCGGAACGUACCCAGUAGUGGGGGAUAGCUCGGCGAAAGCCGGAUUAAUACCGCAUACGCACUAUGGUGGAAAGCGGGGGAUCGCAAGACCUCGCGCUAUUGGAGCGGCCGAUAUCUGAUUAGCUAGUUGGUAGGGUAAAAGCCUACCAAGGCGACGAUCAGUAGCUGGUCUGAGAGGACGACCAGCCACACUGGAACUGAGACACGGUCCAGACUCCUACGGGAGGCAGCAGUGGGGAAUUUUGGACAAUGGGGGCAACCCUGAUCCAGCAAUGCCGCGUGUGUGAAGAAGGCCUUCGGGUUGUAAAGCACUUUUGUCCGGAAAGAAAUCCCUUGGGCUAAUACCUCGGGGGGAUGACGGUACCGGAAGAAUAAGCACCGGCUAACUACGUGCCAGCAGCCGCGGUAAUACGUAGGGUGCAAGCGUUAAUCGGAAUUACUGGGCGUAAAGCGUGCGCAGGCGGUUGUGCAAGACAGAUGUGAAAUCCCCGGGCUCAACCUGGGAACUGCAUUUGUGACUGCACGGCUAGAGUGUGUCAGAGGGGGGUAGAAUUCCACGUAGCAGUGAAAUGCGUAGAGAUGUGGAGGAAUACCGAUGGCGAAGGCAGCCCCCUGGGAUAACACUGACGCUCAUGCACGAAAGCGUGGGGAGCAAACAGGAUUAGAUACCCUAGUAGUCC
Molecule: ribosomal RNA, 791 nt
Filed under: uncultured bacterium
Lineage: Bacteria
Description: bacterial SSU rRNA
Rfam family: Bacterial small subunit ribosomal RNA
Source: RNAcentral